Molecule: ribosomal RNA, 1260 nt
Filed under: Anoplistes halodendri
Lineage: Eukaryota; Metazoa; Arthropoda; Insecta; Coleoptera; Cerambycidae
Description: 16S ribosomal RNA
Rfam family: Bacterial large subunit ribosomal RNA (bases 815-1208)
Source: RNAcentral
UUUGUAAAUUACUAAAUUUGUUUUUAUAUUUUGUUUUUUGAUGAAUAUGUUUUUAUUUAUUAUUUUUUAGAACAAUUUAUUUUUGUGGUAGUUUAUUAGUACUGUGGGGGAAUUUUAAAAAAGAAGAAAGAAGGUUUAGUUUACUGUACCUUGUGUAUCAGGGUUAAUUAAUUUUAGUUUAUUAUUUAAAUUUUCCCGAAUUUAGGAGAGCUAUUUCUAUAAGUUUUUUAUUGUUUCAUAAAUAUUAAAAAUAUAGUUAUUGUAAUGAAACGUUAUUCGUUCCUAAAUAUUUCUGGUUUUUCAAGAAACAAAUUAAAUUUGCUUUUUAGUAAAUAAUUUUAAAUUUUUAUUUGUUUUUGCUAAAAGGUUAUGUCCUAAGGGAUUAGCUUUGGGACAAAAACUUAAAAAUUUUUAUUUUUUCUGGGCAAUUAGGAUUAGAAUUGUUCUUAUUAAGAUAAUGUUAAAGUUUUCCUAGAUGGAAAUUUUAUUUUUGUAAGUUUUAAGGUUUUUAUUGAAAUUUUUUAAUUAAUACUUAAUUAAAAGUAACUAUGAUUAAAUUAGUAUAUAUUUUUGUAAUUUUAAAUUUUUGAUUAAGGUUUAAUAAAGGAAUUCGGCAAAUUAUUUUCUACCUGUUUAUUAAAAACAUGUCCUAUCGAUAAUAAUCUUAGGUCUAACCUGCCCGCUGAGUAGUUGAAGAGCCGCGGUAUUUUGACCGUGCAAAGGUAGCAUAAUAAUUAGUUUUUUAAUUGAAAGCUGGAAUGAAUGGUUGAAUAAGAAAAUGACUGUCUCUGUUAAAUUUUUUAGAAUUUUAUCUUUAAGUAAAAAAGCUUAAAUUUGGCUAAAAGACGAGAAGACCCUAUAGAGUUUUAUAAUUUUAUGUUUUUGGCUUUUUAGAAUUUUUUGGGCAAUAAAACUAUAAUUUAUUUGGUUGGGGUGACUGAAAAAUUAAAAUAACUUUUUCUUUAUUUUUACAUUAAUUUAUGAAGAAUUUGAUCCAGAUUUUUUGAUUAUAAGAGUAAAUUACCUUAGGGAUAACAGCGUAAUUCUUUUUGAGAGUUCAAAUCGAAAAUGGAGUUUGCGACCUCGAUGUUGGAUUAAAAUUUAAUUUUGGUGCAGAAGCUAAAAGUUUAGGUCUGUUCGACCUUUAAAAUUUUACAUGAUCUGAGUUUAAACCGGCGUGAGCCAGGUUGGUUUCUAUCUUUAGUUUAAUUAACUUUCUAGUACGAGAGGACCGUGAGUUAGAUAUAAUAUUUUUAUUUU